CAACCUGCCGUCUACUCUUGGACAGCCUUCUGAAAGGAAGAUUAAUACAAGAUGGCAUCAUGAGUCCGCAUGUUCACAUGAUUAAAGGUACUCCGGUAGACGAUGGGGAUGCGUUCCAUUAGAUAGUAGGCGGGGUAACGGCCCACCUAGUCUUCGAUGGAUAGGGGUUCUGAGAGGAAGGUCCCCCACAUUGGAACUGAGACACGGUCCAAACUCCUACGGGAGGCAGCAGUGAGGAAUAUUGGUCAAUGGGCGAGAGCCUGAACCAGCCAAGUAGCGUGAAGGAUGACUGCCCUAUGGGUUGUAAACUUCUUUUAUAAAGGAAUAAAGUCGGGUAUGGAUACCCGUUUGCAUGUACUUUAUGAAUAAGGAUCGGCUAACUCCGUGCCAGCAGCCGCGGUAAUACGGAGGAUCCGAGCGUUAUCCGGAUUUAUUGGGUUUAAAGGGAGCGUAGAUGGAUGUUUAAGUCAGUUGUGAAAGUUUGCGGCUCAACCGUAAAAUUGCAGUUGACACUGGAUAUCUUGAGUGCAGUUGAGGCAGGCGGAAUUCGUGGUGUAGCGGUGAAAUGCUUAGAUAUCACGAAGAACUCCGAUUG
This 595-nucleotide ribosomal RNA is filed under the name uncultured Bacteroidota bacterium. RNAcentral describes it as "bacterial SSU rRNA". It matches the Rfam family "Bacterial small subunit ribosomal RNA", at positions 122 to 715 of the family's 1533-position model. Lineage: Bacteria; Pseudomonadati; Bacteroidota. The record is from RNAcentral.